This 497-nucleotide ribosomal RNA is filed under the name uncultured bacterium. RNAcentral describes it as "partial 16S ribosomal RNA". It matches the Rfam family "Bacterial small subunit ribosomal RNA", at positions 28 to 507 of the family's 1533-position model. The record is from RNAcentral.
GAUGAACGCUGGCGGCGUGCCUAAUACAUGCAAGUCGAGCGAACGGACGAGAAGCUUGCUUCUCUGAUGUUAGCGGCGGACGGGUGAGUAACACGUGGAUAACCUACCUAUAAGACUGGGAUAACUUCGGGAAACCGGAGCUAAUACCGGAUAAUAUUUUGAACCGCAUGGUUCAAAAGUGAAAGACGGUCUUGCUGUCACUUAUAGAUGGAUCCGCGCUGCAUUAGCUAGUUGGUAAGGUAACGGCUUACCAAGGCAACGAUGCAUAGCCGACCUGAGAGGGGGAUAGGCCACACUGGAACUGAGACACGGUCCAGACUCCUACGGGAGGCAGCAGUAGGGAAUCUUCCGCAAUGGGCGAAAGCCUGACGGAGCAACGCCGCGUGAGUGAUGAAGGUCUUCGGAUCGUAAAACUCUGUUAUUAGGUAAGAACAUAUGUGUAAGUAACUGUGCACAUCUUGACGGUACCUAAUCAGAAAGCCACGGCUAACUACGUG